Falco peregrinus (peregrine falcon) is the source of this 895-nucleotide long non-coding RNA. RefSeq lists it as uncharacterized. The record is from RefSeq and is a predicted model, not a curated record. Lineage: Eukaryota; Metazoa; Chordata; Aves; Falconiformes; Falconidae. The transcript is spliced from 3 exons.
UCCGAGCACAAAUCCCCUCACGCCAAACAAACGGCGUCCGUCCCACGGCGGCGGGCCUGGCCGGUUUUCCUACUUUGUAGCUUCUCCGGUGGACGAAAGUUGCCCCGUCCCUCUUUGCCCCCUCCUCUGGCGGCGGAGGAGGCGGGGUGGGAGGCCGGGUGGGUGAGGAGUCCGCGGCGCACCGGCGGCGGAGAAAUGCGGGUUAAAAAAAAUCAUGUCAAUUUCUAAUUAUUUCAUUGCUCAACACUGAAGUCAAUGUAUGGGAAUUCUCGAGGAAAAGUGCGAUGUGGAGGAUAUGACUUGACUCUACCAUGGCAAGGGGUAAGAGGAAAGAAAAUUCUCGGUUUAUAAAACUGGAGAUACUUACUUUGGGAAUGCAGGAGUCUUGCUCUAAUGCCAGUUCUUCCCUGAGCUCUGCCCUGGCCACGACUCCCAUUCACUUCAGUGGCAGCUUUGUGCGUCGUCGCCCUGUGUGAGCGGCUGGUUUGACCCCUCAACUCUGGCUAAAUGCAAAUUCUUAUAAGAAGAUCCCUCACGGCACCACUUUCUAACAGGGAAGUUUUUGUGGGGUGUCUGAAGAAGAAGCUCGUGCGUGGAACAGAAGGGCACGGCCCCAACCCUGCGAAACAGGGGUGGGUGUGCAGAGGGGACCCGGGUCUGCGGAGCGUGGAUGCUCCCUCACCUGCGCGCUCGCCUGCGGUGCGGGCCCGCCGCACUGUGCUGAGGGGAUGGGCUGAGAGUGUCCGACUCCGGGUCAGCACGGGGGUGAAGAGCUGAGCUGAAACGUCCUGCUUGUAGUGCCAUUCAACAGCGAUCUCCGAGCAUUUUCUUGGGUAUAACUCGUAGAGAUAGUGUUUCAACCGCAUACUUCACCCUCCCCCCGCUUUUUUUUUAA